RNAcentral lists this ribosomal RNA (99 nucleotides) under Megasphaera elsdenii. Its description in RNAcentral is "partial 16S ribosomal RNA". It matches the Rfam family "Bacterial small subunit ribosomal RNA", at positions 1 to 93 of the family's 1533-position model. Lineage: Bacteria; Bacillati; Bacillota; Negativicutes; Veillonellales; Veillonellaceae. The record is from RNAcentral.
UAUCAUGGAGAGUUUGAUCCUGGCUCAGGACGAACGCUGGCGGCGUGCUUAACACAUGCAAGUCGAACGAGAAGAGAUGAGAAGCUUGCUUCUUAUCAA